ACGGCUCCAGUAACGCGUAUCCAUUUCCCUUAUGGCCGGGAUACCCUCCGGAAACUGAGAAAUAAUUCCCGAUAGAUCCAUUAUGCCUGGAAAUGGUUUAUGGUUUCCAAAUGAUUUAUCCGCCAUAGGAAUGGGGCCUCGGCCCUAUCAGCUUUGUUGGGUGAGGUAAUGGCCCCACCAAGACUAUUACAGAGUACGGGGCUCUGAGAGGAGUAGCCCGGAGAUGGGUACUGAGACCACUGGACCCAGGCCCUAUGGGGCGCAGCAGGCGGGAAAACUUUGCAAUGUGCGAAAGCACGACAAGGUUAAUCCGAGUGGUUUCUGCUAAAGAAACCUUUUGUCAGUCCUAGAAACACUAACGAAUAAGGGGUGGGCAAGUUCUGGUGUCAGCCACCGCGGUAAAACCAGCACCUCAAGUGGUCAGGAUGAUUAUUGGGCCUAAAGCAUCCGUAGCUCGUUUUGUCAAGUUUUCGGUUAAAUCCAUACGCUUAACGUAUGGGCUGCCGGGAAUACUGCAUAACUAGGAAGUGGGAGAGGUAGACGGUACUCGGUAGGAAGGGGUAAAAUCCUUUGAUCUAUUGAUGACCACCUGUCGCGAAGGCGGUCUACCAGAACACGUUCGACGGUGAGGGAUGAAAGCUGGGGGAGCAAACCGGAUUAGAUACCCGGGUAGUCCCAGCUGUAGACUAUGCAAACUCAGUGAUGCAUUGGCUUGUGGCCAAUGCAGUGCUGCAGGGAAGCCGUUAAGUUUGCCGCCUGGGAAGUACGUACGCAAGUAUGAAACUUAAAGGAAUUGGCGGGGGAGGGCCACAAGGGGUGAAGCCUGCGGUUCAAUGGAGUCAACGCCGG
RNAcentral lists this ribosomal RNA (849 nucleotides) under uncultured archaeon. RNAcentral's name for it is "bacterial SSU rRNA". It matches the Rfam family "Archaeal small subunit ribosomal RNA", at positions 83 to 921 of the family's 1478-position model. The record is from RNAcentral.